This 546-nucleotide ribosomal RNA is filed under the name Colletotrichum acutatum. RNAcentral's name for it is "eukaryotic LSU rRNA". The stretch from base 195 to 348 matches the Rfam family "5.8S ribosomal RNA". Lineage: Eukaryota; Fungi; Ascomycota; Sordariomycetes; Glomerellales; Glomerellaceae. The record is from RNAcentral.
AGGGAUCAUUACUGAGUUACCAGCUCUAUAACCCUUUGUGAACAUACCUAACCGUUGCUUCGGCGGGCAGGGGAAGCCUCUCGCGGGCCUCCCCUCCCGGCGCCGGCCCCCACCACGGGGACGGGGCGCCCGCCGGAGGAAACCAAACUCUAUUUACACGACGUCUCUUCUGAGUGGCACAAGCAAAUAAUUAAAACUUUUAACAACGGAUCUCUUGGUUCUGGCAUCGAUGAAGAACGCAGCGAAAUGCGAUAAGUAAUGUGAAUUGCAGAAUUCAGUGAAUCAUCGAAUCUUUGAACGCACAUUGCGCUCGCCAGCAUUCUGGCGAGCAUGCCUGUUCGAGCGUCAUUUCAACCCUCAAGCACCGCUUGGUUUUGGGGCCCCACGGCACACGUGGGCCCUUAAAGGUAGUGGCGGACCCUCCCGGAGCCUCCUUUGCGUAGUAACUAACGUCUCGCACUGGGAUCCGGAGGGACUCUUGCCGUAAAACCCCCAAAUUUUUUACAGGUUGACCUCGGAUCAGGUAGGAAUACCCGCUGAACUUAA